UACGAAGGGGGCUAGCGUUGCUCGGAAUCACUGGGCGUAAAGGGCGCGUAGGCGGACUUUUAAGUCAGGGGUGAAAUCCUGAGGCUCAACCUCAGAACUGCCUUUGAUACUGAGGGUCUCGAGCACCGGUAGAGGUAAGUGGAACUGCGAGUGUAGAGGUGAAAUUCGUAGAUAUUCGCAAGAACACCAGUGGCGAAGGCGGCUUGCCAGAACGCGCUCGACGGGUGAGGGAGUGAAAGCUGGGGGAGCAAACCG
RNAcentral lists this ribosomal RNA (255 nucleotides) under uncultured bacterium. Its description in RNAcentral is "partial 16S ribosomal RNA". It matches the Rfam family "Bacterial small subunit ribosomal RNA", at positions 524 to 775 of the family's 1533-position model. The record is from RNAcentral.